UCAUGUCAGACACAUGGUGAGUCAUGUCAGGUCUGUAGACAUAUGGUGAGUCAUGUCAGACACAUGGUGAGUCAUGUCAGGUCUGUAGACAUAUGGUGAGUCAUGUCAGACACAUGGUGAGUCAUGUCAGGUCUGUAGACAUAUGGUGAGUCAUGUCAGGUCUGCAGACACAUGGUGAGUCAUGUCAGAGGUCACUUUAUAUCUGACGUCAAGAGUUUUACAUGGGUUUUUGCCCAUAAUUAGAACAAAAAAAA
Lampris incognitus (smalleye Pacific opah) is the source of this 254-nucleotide long non-coding RNA. RefSeq lists it as uncharacterized. NCBI's taxonomy places the organism in Eukaryota, Metazoa, Chordata, Actinopteri, Lampriformes, Lampridae. The record is from RefSeq and is a predicted model, not a curated record. The transcript is spliced from 3 exons.